AGUGAACGCUGGCGGUAGGCCUAACACAUGCAAGUCGAACGGCAGCACAGUAAGAGCUUGCUCUUACGGGUGGCGAGUGGCGGACGGGUGAGGAAUACAUCGGAAUCUACUUUUUCGUGGGGGAUAACGUAGGGAAACUUACGCUAAUACCGCAUACGACCUACGGGUGAAAGCAGGGGAUCUUCGGACCUUGCGCGAUUGAAUGAGCCGAUGUCGGAUUAGCUAGUUGGCGGGGUAAAGGCCCACCAAGGCGACGAUCCGUAGCUGGUCUGAGAGGAUGAUCAGCCAAACUGGAACUUAAACACGGUCCAGACUCCUACGGGAGGCAGCAGUGGGGAAUAUUGGACAAUGGGCGCAAGCCUGAUCCAGCCAUACCGCGUGGGUGAAGAAGGCCUUCGGGUUGUAAAGCCCUUUUGUUGGGAAAGAAAAGCAGCAGGUUAAUACCCCGCUGUUCUGACGGUACCCAAAGAAUAAGCACCGGCUAACUUCGUG
This 492-nucleotide ribosomal RNA is filed under the name uncultured bacterium. RNAcentral describes it as "partial 16S ribosomal RNA". It matches the Rfam family "Bacterial small subunit ribosomal RNA", at positions 29 to 507 of the family's 1533-position model. The record is from RNAcentral.